RNAcentral lists this small RNA (746 nucleotides) under Pan troglodytes (chimpanzee). Its description in RNAcentral is "retained intron". Lineage: Eukaryota; Metazoa; Chordata; Mammalia; Primates; Hominidae. The record is from RNAcentral.
UAAUUUUAGAUUUUUCUAAUUUUAAGUAGUCUAGGUUUUCUAACAAACUGAAAAUCAGUACCUUGGGAUGAUGUCAGUUUCACCUCAUAUGUUACUCUUCAUUUUUUAUGUUUUCAUAGGUUUUGGCUCAUCUUUUGGAUAUGGUUUUCUAUAGUGAUGAAAAGGAGCGGGUUAUUCCUUUACUUGUAAAUAUUAUGCAUUAUGUUGUGCCCUACCUCAGAAAUCACAGGUACUAUCAUUAUUUAAAUAGUUUUUAAAAUUAAUUCAUAGCCUGUUAGAAACAAGUUCUGUUCCCUUAUUGCCAUUUCUAGAAUUAUCAUAAAAUGGCAUUUUUACCUUGAAUUAUAAUUGUUUAAAAAAAUUCAUAUAUUAUUUUUCUUAUGGUGCUUUCUAUUUCAUAUCUUCAUGUCACUGUCUUAGGUAAAUGUGAACAUUUAUGUAUAACUUGAUAGGAUGAUUAAAGUUAGGACACAUAGGUUAAGGUGGUUUUUCUUCCUUGUAGUGCACAUAAUGCCCCUAGUUAUCGAGCUUGUGUCCAGCUGCUCAGCAGUCUUAGUGGGUAUCAGUACACACGGAGAGCUUGGAAAAAAGAAGCUUUUGACCUCUUUAUGGAUCCCAGUUUCUUUCAGAUGGAUGCCUCUUGUGUUAAUCAUUGGAGAGCAAUUAUGGACAAUCUGAUGACACAUGAUAAAACAACAUUUAGAGAUUUGAUGAGUGAGUAUUACGGGAUGACAAUCCAAGUUCUU